This 470-nucleotide ribosomal RNA is filed under the name uncultured bacterium. Its description in RNAcentral is "partial 16S ribosomal RNA". It matches the Rfam family "Bacterial small subunit ribosomal RNA", at positions 28 to 507 of the family's 1533-position model. The record is from RNAcentral.
GACGAACGCUGGCGGCGUGCUUAACACAUGCAAGUCGAACGGUGAACGAGGGCGCUUGCUCCGUCCGGAUCAGUGGCGAACGGGUGAGUCACACGUGAGCACUCUGCACCGAACUAUGGGAUAAGCGAUGGAAACGACGUAUAAUACAGGACACGACGCGGGAGGGCAUCGUCUCCGCGAGGACAGAACUUCGGAUCGGGAUGGGCUCGCGGCCUAACAGCUUGUUGUUGAGGUAACGGCACACCACGGCGACGACGGGUAGCCGGCCUGAGAGGGUGACCGGCCACACGAGUACUGAGACACGGCCCAGACUCCAACUGGAGACAGCAGUGGAGAAUAUUGCACAAUGGGCGCAAGCCUGAUGCAGCAACGCCGCGUGAGUGACGACGGCCUUCGUGUUGGAAACCUCUUUUAGCUGGUAAGAAGCGAAAUUGACGUUACCUGCAGAAAAAGCACCGGCUAACUACGUG